Molecule: small RNA, 569 nt
Filed under: Pongo abelii (Sumatran orangutan)
Lineage: Eukaryota; Metazoa; Chordata; Mammalia; Primates; Hominidae
Description: processed transcript
Source: RNAcentral
AGUUUCCGGGUCCAAUCUAAGCUACCAGACAGGCUCUGCCAAACCAGAGGCCCAGAUGGGAUCUGCCACUCCAGCCACUGUGAGCAGCUUUGGUUUCAGCCCAAAUGCCAGGACUGGAGAAGUGUCGACAAGGUUGAGGUUCCGGGAUACAUGUGCAGAACAUGCAGGUUUGUUACAUAGGUAAACAUGUGCCAUGGUGGUUUGCUGUACCCAUCAACCCAUUAUUUAAGGAUCACAUGAACACAAUCCAGUACAAAUGGGUCCAGGAGCUUCAACGAGCGUUCCAGCUUCUUCGUAAAGUUCCCACACCGUGCAACAAGCGGAGGGAAGAGAACUUCCGGCGCCCCCACCUACCGCUCCCCAGCCGUGUCCCGCUGCUCUAAAGCUGCAGACUUGAUCGAUUGCUUCUGCCUGGGCGGUACCGCCCGAAUCGACUGCUCCUGUCUGAUGCGUCCCCAGGCGCGGGAAACGAGUUUCAAUCCACUUUCCUGACCCCAACCAUCUGCCCGGUUUCCGCUUCCCCGUCUUGUACACACCUAACUCCUGAGGCUCCUCCGAAUCACGCGAGU